GCUUGUCUCAAAGAUUAAGCCAUGCAUGUCUAAGUACAAGCCUCAGUAAGGUGAAACCGCGAAUGGCUCAUUAAAUCAGUUAUCGUUUAUUUGAUAGCACCUACUACAUGGAUAACUGUGGUAAUUCUAGAGCUAAUACAUGCUAAAAAUCCCGACUUCGGAAGGGAUGUAUUUAUUAGAUUAAAAACCAAUGCCCUUCGGGGCUCUCUGGUGAUUCAUAAUAACUGCUCGAAUCGCAUGGCCUUGCGCCGGCGAUGGCUCAUUCAAAUUUCUGCCCUAUCAACUUUCGACGGCUGGGUCUUGGCCAGCCAUGGUGACAACGGGUAACGGAGGGUUAGGGCUCGACCCCGGAGAAGGAGCCUGAGAGACGGCUACUACAUCCAAGGAAGGCAGCAGG
RNAcentral lists this ribosomal RNA (397 nucleotides) under uncultured Coniochaeta. RNAcentral's name for it is "partial small subunit ribosomal RNA". It matches the Rfam family "Eukaryotic small subunit ribosomal RNA", at positions 30 to 432 of the family's 1831-position model. Lineage: Eukaryota; Fungi; Ascomycota; Sordariomycetes; Coniochaetales. The record is from RNAcentral.